AAAGACAAGGAUUAGAUACCCUUUUAUUUUAGAUGUUAAUAUUAACCAGGGUAGUAAUAGUUAUGUUCUUGAAACCCAAAGAAUUUGGCGGUAUUUUAUUCUUUUUAGAGGAACCUGUUCUGUAAUCGAUAAUCCCACGAGGAUCAUUUACUUAUUUUUGUUUUUCAGUUUGUAUACCUCCGUCAUAAGAGUAUCUUUUUAGAGUGAAUAUUCUAUUACUAUGAAAUAUAAAAUGUCAGGUCAAGGUGCAACUUAUGAAUAAGAAGAGAUGGGUUACAAUAAAUUUAUUUAUAUGGAUUAUAAUUUUUAUUUUUAUAUGAAGGUGGAUUUAAAAGUAAAAUUAAUUUCUUAUUAAUUUGAUUUUAGCUCUAAAAUAUGCACACAUCGCCCGUCGCUCUUAUUUUAAAAUAAGAUAAGUCGGUAACAUAGUAGGAGUAUCGGAAGAUGUUCCUA
Molecule: ribosomal RNA, 453 nt
Filed under: Cordulia aenea (downy emerald)
Lineage: Eukaryota; Metazoa; Arthropoda; Insecta; Odonata; Corduliidae
Description: small subunit ribosomal RNA
Source: RNAcentral